Molecule: ribosomal RNA, 550 nt
Filed under: uncultured bacterium
Lineage: Bacteria
Description: bacterial SSU rRNA
Rfam family: Bacterial small subunit ribosomal RNA
Source: RNAcentral
UAGGGAAUCUUCCGCAAUGGGCGAAAGCCUGACGGAGCAACGCCGCNUGAGUGAUGAAGGUCUUCGGAUCGUAAAACUCUGUUAUUAGGGAAGAACAUAUGUGUAAGUAACUGUGCACAUCUUGACGGUACCUAAUCAGAAAGCCACGGCUAACUACGUGCCAGCAGCCGCGGUAAUACGUAGGUGGCAAGCGUUAUCCGGAAUUAUUGGGCGUAAAGCGCGCGUAGGCGGUUUUUUAAGUUUGAUGUGAAAGCCCACGGCUCAACCGUGGAGGGUCAUUGGAAACUGGAAAACUUGAGUGCAGAAGAGGAAAGUGGAAUUCCAUGUGUAGCGGUGAAAUGCGCAGAGAUAUGGAGGAACACCAGUGGCGAAGGCGACUUUCUGGUCUGUAACUGACGAUGAUGUGCGAAAGCGUGGGGAUCAAACAGGAUUAGAUACCCUGGUAGUCCACGCCGUAAACGAUGAGUGCUAAGUGUUAGGGGGUUUCCGCCCCCUAGUGCUGCAGCUAACGCAUUAAGCACUCCGCCUGGGGAGUACGACCGCAAGGUUG